RNAcentral lists this ribosomal RNA (272 nucleotides) under uncultured Eubacteriales bacterium. RNAcentral's name for it is "uncultured Clostridiales bacterium partial 16S ribosomal RNA". It matches the Rfam family "Bacterial small subunit ribosomal RNA", at positions 68 to 339 of the family's 1533-position model. The record is from RNAcentral. Lineage: Bacteria; Bacillati; Bacillota; Clostridia; Eubacteriales.
UGAGUAGCUUGCUAUGAACUGUUUUAGCGGCGGACGGGUGAGUAACGCGUGAGCAAUCUGUCCCAGACAGGGGGAUAACAGAUGGAAACAUCUGCUAAUACCGCAUAAGACCACGAGGAGACAUCUUCAUGGGGUAAAAGGAGCAAUCCGGUUUGGGGUGAGCUCGCGUCCGAUUAGCUAGUUGGUGAGGUAACGGCCCACCAAGGCGACGAUCGGUAGCCGACCUGAGAGGGUGAUCGGCCACAUUGGAACUGAGACACGGUCCAAACUCC